AGCGAACGCUGGCGGCAGGCCUAACACAUGCAAGUCGAACGAACCUUUCGGGGUUAGUGGCGGACGGGUGAGUAACACGUGGGAACGUGCCUUUAGGUUCGGAAUAACUCAGGGAAACUUGUGCUAAUACCGAAUGUGCCCUUCGGGGGAAAGAUUAAUCGCCUUUAGAGCGGCCCGCGUCGGAUUAGCUAGUUGGUUGAGGUAAUGGCUCACCAAGGCGACGAUCAGUAGCUGGUCUGAGAGGAUGAUCAGCCACAUUGGGACUGAGACACGGCCCAAACUCCUACGGGAGGCAGCAGUGGGGAAUCUUGCGCAAUGGGCGAAAGCCUGACGCAGCCAUGCCGCGUGAAUGAUGAAGGUCUGAGGAUUGUAAAAUUCUUUCACCGGGGACGAUAAUGACGGUACCCGGAGAAGAAGCCCCGGCUAACUUCGUG
This 434-nucleotide ribosomal RNA is filed under the name uncultured bacterium. RNAcentral describes it as "partial 16S ribosomal RNA". It matches the Rfam family "Bacterial small subunit ribosomal RNA", at positions 29 to 507 of the family's 1533-position model. The record is from RNAcentral.